Molecule: ribosomal RNA, 502 nt
Filed under: uncultured euryarchaeote
Lineage: Archaea; Methanobacteriati; Methanobacteriota
Description: bacterial SSU rRNA
Rfam family: Archaeal small subunit ribosomal RNA
Source: RNAcentral
ACACUUUACAAUGCGGGAAACCGCGAUAAGGGAACCCCGAGUGCCAGCAUCAAAUGUUGGCUGUCCAGAUGAUUAAAAAUCAUUUGUUAGCAAGGGCCGGGCAAGACCGGUGCCAGCCGCCGCGGUAACACCGGCGGCCCGAGUGGUAGCCGUUUUUAUUGGGUCUAAAGGGUCCGUAGCCGGCCUGAUAAGUCCUUUGGGAAAUCUGGCAGCUUAACUGUCAGGCUUCUAAGGGAUACUGUCAGGCUUGGGACCGGAAGAGGUAAGGGGUACUCCAGGGGUAGGAGUGAAAUCUUGUAAUCCCUGGGGGACCAUCUGUGGCGAAGGCGCCUUACCAGAACGGGUCCGACGGUGAGGGACGAAAGCUAGGGGAGCAAACCGGAUUAGAUACCCGGGUAGUCCCAGCCGUAAACGAUGCUCGCUAGGUGUCAGACACGGUGCGACCGUGUUUGGUGCCGCAGGGAAKCCGUUAAGCGAGCCACCUGGAAGUACGUCGCAAGGC